Molecule: long non-coding RNA, 344 nt
Filed under: Anser brachyrhynchus (Pink-footed goose)
Lineage: Eukaryota; Metazoa; Chordata; Aves; Anseriformes; Anatidae
Description: lncRNA (ENSABRG00000008841.1)
Source: RNAcentral
GUUUUUUCCUAUUUUUAAGCAGCAAAGUACUAAAAUGCAGUGCCAAAGCUUUUUCUUCCAGUAUUUCCAUCCCAUUAGAAACCACAAAAGUAAGGCAAAUGCUGAGAGCAAGCUUCUUCCUGCAAAACUUCCAGUUCAAUCUGUUGAGCACAGAGGUUUGGAUGAGUUUGAUUAAGCUUGCAAAGGUUGACUCAGCCCUUCAUCCUUCACUGGGACCAACGGGAGCCGGCCAGCUGGACGACAGACCCACCUCCCCAGCCCCUGAAGCUAUUAGCAUGAAGAAACCUAUGCCAGAUUCCAGGAAAAGCAUUGAGGUUGGGGUUUCCUCAUUACCAGAAAUCUAA